RNAcentral lists this long non-coding RNA (199 nucleotides) under Hordeum vulgare. RNAcentral describes it as "long non-coding RNA (HVUL_LNC017684)". Lineage: Eukaryota; Viridiplantae; Streptophyta; Magnoliopsida; Poales; Poaceae. The record is from RNAcentral.
UGAGGGAAAAAUCUUAGAGAUCACAUGACUAACUUCCAGGAUGUCAAAAGAAUGUGGAGUCUAAGACAACCCAUUGUGUUGCUUAAGUUGGUAGCUUCACACAGUUUUACACGGUCUGUUAGCCCACAUGUAAACUUCAAAACAUGCAAUUUGGAUUCAGUAAACAUGACCAUGGUAGCACAUUAUAUGGUGCAAAAAU